CUCUCUCGGUCAGUACUCCCCUGUUCUCACUUCUCCAACCUUUCCUUCUUCCAUUUUUUUUAAUUUUUUCAAAUCACCAAAUUUCAAUUAGAAACCAAACAACCUUGAAGAUACUUGCUCCUUCCAAAGUAAAGCUUUAACAAAUGUGAUUGGGUAUAAUUUUGGGGCUAGGGUUAAUGAUCUAAGGGUGGAGAUGAGUACCCGUUCCUUAAAAAUUGCUUAUUGAGACUCUUUCAGAUUCAACCGUUGCUGCUUCAUCUGCUUCUCCCGGAGUCGUUGGAGAGCAACAUUAGCCGGUCUUCAUAGUUAUUCCCAGUCAGCUGAGUAGCAAGUUUUUAGCACAUUCAAAGCUUCAUC
Long non-coding RNA from Trifolium pratense (red clover), 357 nucleotides. RefSeq lists it as uncharacterized. The transcript has 3 exons. NCBI's taxonomy places the organism in Eukaryota, Viridiplantae, Streptophyta, Magnoliopsida, Fabales, Fabaceae. The record is from RefSeq and is a predicted model, not a curated record.